CGAAGGGGGCUAGCGUUGUUCGGAUUUACUGGGCGUAAAGCGCACGUAGGCGGAUCGAUCAGUCAGGGGUGAAAUCCCAGGGCUCAACCCUGGAACUGCCUUUGAUACUGUCGAUCUGGAGUAUGGAAGAGGUGAGUGGAAUUCCGAGUGUAGAGGUGAGAUUCGUAGAUAUUCGGAGGAACACCAGUGGCGAAGGCGGCUCACUGGUCCAUUACUGACGCUGAGGUGCGAAAGCGUGAGGAGCAAACAGGAUUAGAUACCCUGGUAGUCCACGCCGUAAACGAUGAAUGUUAGCCGUCGGGCAGUAUACUGUUCGGUGGCGCAGCUAACGCAUUAAACAUUCCGCCUGGGGAGUACGGUCGCAAGAUUA
RNAcentral lists this ribosomal RNA (370 nucleotides) under uncultured organism. Its description in RNAcentral is "bacterial SSU rRNA". It matches the Rfam family "Bacterial small subunit ribosomal RNA", at positions 526 to 896 of the family's 1533-position model. The record is from RNAcentral.